Molecule: ribosomal RNA, 477 nt
Filed under: uncultured bacterium
Lineage: Bacteria
Description: partial 16S ribosomal RNA
Rfam family: Bacterial small subunit ribosomal RNA
Source: RNAcentral
ACGAACGCUGGCGGCGUGCUUAACACAUGCAAGUCGAACGGGAUUUAGUAGACAGAAGCCUCGGCUAAAGAUUACUAAUGAGAGUGGCGAACGGGUGAGUAACGCGUGAGCAACCUGCCUAUGACAGUGGGAUAGCCUCGGGAAACCGGGAUUAAUACCGCAUAAAAUCGUAGAAACACAUGUUUCAACGGUCAAAGAUUUAUCGGUCAUAGAUGGGCUCGCGUCUGAUUAGCUAGUUGGUGAGAUAACAGCCCACCAAGGCGACGAUCAGUAGCCGGUCUGAGAGGAUGAACGGCCAAAUUGGAACUGAGACACGGUCCAAACUCCUACGGGAGGCGGCAGUGGGGAAUAUUGCACAAUGGGGGAAACCCUGAUGCAGCGACGCCGCGUGAACGAAGAAGGUAUUCGUGUCGUAAAGUUCUGUCCUAUGGGAAGAUAAUGACAGUACCAUAGAAGAAAGCUCCGGCUAAAUACGUG